UUCUUGCCUUCAUAUAGCAAGUUUGUUUCCAGGCUUCUGGUUAGUGAAAGAGAGAUCUGGAGGACACAAGAAAAAUCACGAGGAAGCAAGUCAGUGGGUGUACCCUACUCUGAAGGGGAGAGAAUCAUUGGGCACCAUCUUAGAAGAUGCCUAACACAAUGAUAAUCUCCAACAUGGCCAGACUAUGAGGAUACAAGUGGGAAAAGGGAGAGUCAGAGGUGUGUUCCAAGGACUUCCAGAACUGAGACCACAGCCUGGCUAACAGCCGUCCGUUCCUGGAAAUUCAUUUCAAGAUGUUCUCCUAAAAGUUUAAUGAUAGGCGGAUUAUCUGCCUUCUCAGAAAUCUGACGUGUUGGGUCUGGCUUCUUUAUGCGAAAGAAAAUAGGCCUCACUGCUUAAUAUUUAUUUUCUUGAGUGAUGUAAUAAAAUGAUAAAGUAAUAAAGUUGGCCAUCAUACUUGCUGGGUUCUACUUCUUCCAUACAAAAAAUCCUUACUGCAUCAUUUUUUGUUAUAAUACAAAAUACUGUAUCAUUUUGUAAUAUGU
Long non-coding RNA from Mustela erminea (ermine), 545 nucleotides. RefSeq lists it as uncharacterized. The transcript is spliced from 3 exons. The record is from RefSeq and is a predicted model, not a curated record. NCBI's taxonomy places the organism in Eukaryota, Metazoa, Chordata, Mammalia, Carnivora, Mustelidae.